This 244-nucleotide unclassified non-coding RNA is filed under the name plant metagenome. RNAcentral's name for it is "partial contains small subunit ribosomal RNA, internal transcribed spacer 1, and 5.8S ribosomal RNA". The record is from RNAcentral.
UCUCCGUUGGUGAACUAGCGGAGGGAUCAUUACCGAGUUUACAACUCCCAAACCCAAUGUGAACCAUACCAAACUGUUGCCUCGGCGGGGUCACGCCCCGGGUGCGUCGCAGCCCCGGAACCAGGCGCCCGCCGGAGGGACCAACCAAACUCUUUCUGUAGUCCCCUCGCGGACGUUAUUUUUACAGCUCAGAGCAAAAAUUCAAAAUGAAUCAAAACUUUCAACAACGGAUCUCUUGGUUCCG